Molecule: long non-coding RNA, 2258 nt
Filed under: Helianthus annuus (common sunflower)
Lineage: Eukaryota; Viridiplantae; Streptophyta; Magnoliopsida; Asterales; Asteraceae
Source: RNAcentral
AUAACUUUGUUCAAUGGGUGUUUUAAUAGGUUUACAAGCUAAAUACCCAAACUCACUUAGAAGUUCUAAGCAAUAUUUUCUUUGAUUCAAACACACACCAGACUUGUUAUACAAAACCUCAAUACCCAAGAAAUAUUUCAACUUACCUAAGUCUUUGAUUUGAAAAUUCAAAUUCAAAACACCCUUAAUUUUAUUCACUUCAUCAAUAUUAUUCCCAGUAACAACAAUAUCAUCCACAUACACAAGAAGCACAAUAAACACACCAUUUCUAGACAACACAUACAUAGAAUGGUCACAUUUACUUUGCACAAAACCAUAAUCAACAAGAACACUGCUCAACUUUUCAUUCCACUUCCUAGGGGCCUGUUUCAGCCCAUACAACGAUUUAACCAAUUUACAAACUCUAGUCUCAUCAGGAGAAUAAUAACCCUUAGGCAAACACAUAUACACAUCUUCAUUAAUAGUGCCAUACAAGAAGGCAUUAUUAAUGUCAAGCUGAAACAUAGGCCAAUCAUUUUGAACAGCAAGGGCAAUUAUACAUCUCACAGUUACCAUUUUCACUACCGGUGAAAAGGUUUCCCCAAAAUCCAAGCCUUCCCUUUGAUUAAACCCCUUGGCCACAAGUCUAGCUUUGAACCUUUCUAUUUCUCCACUAGACUUGUACUUGACCUUAUAAACCCAUUUACAGCCAAUGGGUUUUCUACCAGGGGGUAAAUCAACAAGUGUCCAGGUGUUAUUUCUGAAUAAGGCCUCCAUUUCCUUAUUCAUUGCCUCGACCCACCUAGGGUCUUUAAGUUUAAUAACCAUGUAAUCACAACUGAAUUACACCUUUCCCACUGAUUUGCUAAGACCUGAUCAUCUUUUGGUUUUAUACAUUUACCAUCAAUAAACCCAUAUUUAUUUUUUGCUUCUAAAGCAAGUCUCAUAGCAUUAGACCAGACAGGGUAAUUUUCAGUUCCUUUUAACUUUAUACUAACAAUGGUUAGGGUACUAGAGUCACUAGGGUGAAGGUACAGAGGGUCUCCAAUAUCAAGUUUGCUAAUCAUAGUAGCAGAGGUACUAGUAUCCCCCAUGAUCACAAACAGAUACACACCAAACAAACAACAGAUAAUCAAACAACAAGAAGACACAAAACAAACACUCAAAAAAGGCUAACUGUGACAGAGGCCAGAUUCCAGGUUCGUCACUCUAAAGGUGCCUGGACAAGCGUAUCACAGGAGCACAAACAAACAAGAAAUAUCAAACAAACAACAAACAAGGUGCCGGUCCUCACUACCCCGACUUCAACUAAUCAACCAACAAGACAAGAAAAACUAACUACAGAGAAGGAAAGAUCUCACAGUGGGUGCAAGUCUUCACACAAGAUGACAACUGUAACCUUCUAGGGUUACAAGUCAAUCACCAACAGCAAUGAACUAACACUGGUUGGUUUGCUCUGAAUCCUUCUAGGGUUUCAGAGACCAACGCAGUCUUCUCACAGAUUCCAAUGAAGGACCCAAGCAAAUCCUCCGAUUAGGGUUUCACAAACCCUAACUCAAUAUCACCCCCAAGAUCAACCAACUAGGGUUUCUCAAGAUCAGAAACCCUAAGACAACCUACAAGAAAAAACACAAAAGAGAUAUGAAACAGCGGAAGAACAAUCAAUCAACCAAGAGCUUGUUUAGCUCUGAUACCAUGUAGAAAACUUAUGGUAUCAAUCACACAGAACAAGAACAAAGCAAUAGCGACAAAACAGUGACCAAAAUCUUAUUAUUCACCCAAACCAGAAAACACCCCCCAAUACCCAAUGAUCUUACUAAAUGUAAGAUCUAUAUGAACAGAUGUUCAGAUCAACUGAUUUAAUCAGUUGAUCUAUAUGAAUACAAUACAAACAAGAACAAUACAGAAAGAAACAACCUGAUCUACAAAGCUUGAUCUCACAGUUGAGAUCUCACCAACAACACCAGCAGAUCAGUACAAUACAACAACAAGAAAUACAAAGGGUGAAACUAGAUCGGAGUGAAUGUGGAAGAUGAACAGAGAUGAUGGAUCUAGAACAAUGAGAGAGAAACUCUCAUUAUAUACCACAAAUAUCUAAUGUUACAUCCAGCACCCUUGAACUAUCUCCCAAUAUACACCGACUCAAUGAAAGUUGCAAUAAGGCCCUCCAACUAUAUCAAUCUGUUACAACAACUUUGUCAAUCAGUUAGAGAUUAUAAAAUGGAAUAUUUGAAUGAACACUUUAUAUAAAAACAAUAUAAGCUAUCAUUCUUUCAACA